RNAcentral lists this ribosomal RNA (253 nucleotides) under uncultured bacterium. Its description in RNAcentral is "partial 16S ribosomal RNA". It matches the Rfam family "Bacterial small subunit ribosomal RNA", at positions 524 to 776 of the family's 1533-position model. The record is from RNAcentral.
UACGUAGGGGACAAGCGUUGUCCGGAAUUAUUGGGCGUAAAGCGUGUGUAGGCGGCUUGGUAAGUCUGGUGUGAAACCUUGGGGCUCAACCCCAAGCCUGCACUGGAAACUGCCUCGCUUGAGUCCGGGAGAGGAGAGCGGAAUUCCUAGUGUAGCGGUGAAAUGCGCAGAGAUUAGGAAGAACACCGGUGGCGAAGGCGGCUCUCUGGAACGGUACUGACGCUGAGACGCGAAAGCGUGGGGAGCGAACAGG